CUCUACCGAUUGAGUGAUCCGGUGAGCUGUCCGGACUGCGAUUAGUUCAGUUUCUGUUCUCUUCGCGGGAAGUUCUGCAAACCUUAUCACUUAGAGGAAGGAGAAGUCGUAACAAGGUUUCCGUAGGUGAACCUGCGGAAGGAUCAUUC
This 149-nucleotide non-coding RNA is filed under the name Perkinsus marinus ATCC 50983. RNAcentral describes it as "Eukaryotic small subunit ribosomal RNA". It matches the Rfam family "Eukaryotic small subunit ribosomal RNA", at positions 1680 to 1831 of the family's 1831-position model. Lineage: Eukaryota; Perkinsozoa; Perkinsida; Perkinsidae. The record is from Rfam by way of RNAcentral.